RNAcentral lists this ribosomal RNA (507 nucleotides) under Cafius velutinus. Its description in RNAcentral is "partial 16S ribosomal RNA". It matches the Rfam family "Archaeal large subunit ribosomal RNA", at positions 1911 to 2666 of the family's 2987-position model. The record is from RNAcentral. Lineage: Eukaryota; Metazoa; Arthropoda; Insecta; Coleoptera; Staphylinidae.
GUCUUUUUGUUAAUAAUUUAAAGUCUGACCUGCCCACUGAAUUUUUAAAGGCCGCGGUAUUUUGACCGUGCGAAGGUAGCAUAAUAAUUAGUUUUUUAAUUGAAAGCUAGAAUGAAUGGUUGAACGAGGAAAAAUCUGUCUCUAUAUUAAUUUAUUAGAAUUUUAUUUUUAAGUUAAAAAGCUUAAAUAAAUUUAAAAGACGAGAAGACCCUAUAGAGUUUUAUAGAUUUAAAGGUUAAGAAAAAGUUGAAUUAUUUAUUUUAUAUUUUUAAAUUUAUUUUGUUGGGGUGAUAGAGAAAUUUAAUAAACUUUCUUUUAUUAAUAACAUUGAUGAAUGAAUUUUUGAUCCAUUUUUUAUGAUUAUAAGAUUAAAUUACCUUAGGGAUAACAGCGUAAUUUCUCUAAAGAGUUCGAAUCGAAAGAGAAGUUUGCGACCUCGAUGUUGGAUUAAAAUUAAUGUUUGGUGUAGGAGCUGAAUAAUUAGGUCUGUUCGACCUUUAAAAUUUU